GAUGAACGCUGGCGGCGUGCUUAACACAUGCAAGUCGAACGGUAAGGCCUUCGGGUACACGAGUGGCGAACGGGUGAGUAACACGUGGGUGAUCUGCCCUGCACUUUGGGAUAAGCCUGGGAAACUGGGUCUAAUACCGAAUAGGACUACGGCCUGCAUGGGUUGUGGUGGAAAGCUUUUGCGGUGUGGGAUGGGCCCGCGGCCUAUCAGCUUGUUGGUGAGGUCACGGCUCACCAAGGCGACGACGGGUAGCCGGCCUGAGAGGGUGACCGGCCACACUGGGACUGAGAUACGGCCCAGACUCCUACGGGAGGCAGCAGUGGGGAAUAUUGCACAAUGGGCGCAAGCCUGAUGCAGCGACGCCGCGUGAGGGAUGACGGCCUUCGGGUUGUAAACCUCUUUCAGUAGGGACGAAGCGCAAGUGACGGUACCUAUAGAAGAAGGACCGGCCAACUACGUGCCAGCCGCCGCGGUAA
Molecule: ribosomal RNA, 476 nt
Filed under: uncultured bacterium
Lineage: Bacteria
Description: partial 16S ribosomal RNA
Rfam family: Bacterial small subunit ribosomal RNA
Source: RNAcentral